This 377-nucleotide unclassified non-coding RNA is filed under the name uncultured bacterium. Its description in RNAcentral is "contains 16S-23S intergenic spacer region". The record is from RNAcentral.
UCCGGUUCCUCACCGGCAGUCUCCUUUGAGUCCCCAACUUAAUGCUGGCAACUAAGGACAAGGGUUGCGCUCGUUACGGGACUUAACCCAACAUCUCACAACACGAGCUGACGACAGCCAUGCAGCACCUGUCUCUGCGUUCCUUUUGGCACUCCAGCUGCUAAGCCAGAUUCGCAGGAUGUCAAGGGUAGGUAAGGUUCUUCGCGUUGCAUCGAAUUAAACCACAUGCUCCACCGCUUGUGCGGGCCCCCGUCAAUUCCUUUGAGUUUCAGUCUUGCGACCGUACUCCCCAGGCGGAAUGCUUAAAGCGUUAGCGACGGCACCCGGGGACUUUAUAACCCCAGACACCAAGCAUUCAUCGUUUAAGGCUAGGACUA